GGGGGUUUAGCUUAGUGGUAUAAGCACCUGCCUUGCAAGCAGGUGGUCGUGAGUUCGAGCUCCGGUACCAAUCA
This is a non-coding RNA of Cavia porcellus (domestic guinea pig), 74 nucleotides long. NCBI's taxonomy places the organism in Eukaryota, Metazoa, Chordata, Mammalia, Rodentia, Caviidae. The record is from Rfam.